AAAAAACGAACAGUCUCAGUUCGGAUUGAAGGCUGAAAUUCGCCUUCAUGAAGCCGGAAUUGCUAGUAAUGGCAGGUCAGCAUACUGCCGUGAAUACGUUCCCGGGCCUUGUACACACCGCCCGUCACACCAUGAGAGUUGGGAAUACCCGAAGCCUGUGAGCUAACUGUAAAGAGGCAGCAGUCGAAGGUAGAAUCAAUGAUUGGGGUGAAGUCGUAACAAGGUAUC
RNAcentral lists this ribosomal RNA (228 nucleotides) under uncultured bacterium. Its description in RNAcentral is "partial 16S ribosomal RNA". It matches the Rfam family "Bacterial small subunit ribosomal RNA", at positions 1275 to 1500 of the family's 1533-position model. The record is from RNAcentral.